RNAcentral lists this ribosomal RNA (220 nucleotides) under uncultured Sphingobacteriales bacterium. RNAcentral's name for it is "partial 16S ribosomal RNA". It matches the Rfam family "Bacterial small subunit ribosomal RNA", at positions 1163 to 1382 of the family's 1533-position model. Lineage: Bacteria; Pseudomonadati; Bacteroidota; Sphingobacteriia; Sphingobacteriales. The record is from RNAcentral.
UGAGAGGAAGUGGGGAUGACGUCAAAUCAGCACGGCCCUUAUGUCCAGGGCUACACACGUGUUACAAUGGCCAGUACAAAGGGCAGCUACCGGGUGACCGGAUGCUAAUCUCUAAAGCCUGGUCUCAGUUCGGAUCGAAGUCUGCAACCCGACUUCGUGAAGCUGGAUUCGCUAGUAAUCGCGCAUCAGCCAUGGCGCGGUGAAUACGUUCCCGGGUCUU